GCUCCGGUGGUGUAGUCCGGCCAAGCAUAGAGGCCUCUCGAGUCUCUGACCCGGGUUCAAAUCCCGGCCGGAGCA
This 75-nucleotide transfer RNA is filed under the name Nitrososphaerota archaeon. RNAcentral describes it as "tRNA-Glu". It matches the Rfam family "tRNA". From Rfam's summary of the family: Transfer RNA (tRNA) molecules are approximately 80 nucleotides in length. Their secondary structure includes four short double-helical elements and three loops (D, anti-codon, and T loops). The record is from RNAcentral. Lineage: Archaea; Thermoproteati; Nitrososphaerota.